CAUCUUUCGGUCUAAUGCACCGUUUUAAGCUUGAGGCGUAUCCAUCGAAAAACCUCACCGAUCUCAAAUAUGCGAAAAAUUGAUUUCUCUCGCUUCGGUUUAGUACAUAACAUGCCAAUGGCUUGACAAGUCUAGCUCCCGUCGAAUCAAUGUAAUUUCUUUCUAAUCUGCAUAUCCUCCAAGUCAAGACAAGUCUUCACAAUAUCCUCUGUUCUUCCUUCGAUAUUGAAGAUGGUGUAGAAAUGUUGUCAAAUAUAUUCUUUUCAAUAUGCAUGAUGUCAAAAUUGUGUCGAAAGAGAAGCGUUUUUCAAUAUCAAAGAUCGAACAACUUGCUCAUUUUUCUCUAAUUUUCGAUAGUAGUUCAUAUGCCUGAUUGGUAAAUUAUACGGAAACAUCAUAAUGGGCCACAUACUGUAUGUAGUGCUAAGAUUACUAUACGGAUUAAACCCAUCUGUUGCCAACCCUAGCAUGACAUUUUGUAAAUCAGCCGC
RNAcentral lists this long non-coding RNA (491 nucleotides) under Elaeis guineensis (African oil palm). RNAcentral's name for it is "long non-coding RNA (EGUI_LNC078807)". Lineage: Eukaryota; Viridiplantae; Streptophyta; Magnoliopsida; Arecales; Arecaceae. The record is from RNAcentral.